This 4213-nucleotide unclassified non-coding RNA is filed under the name Leishmania donovani. RNAcentral describes it as "gene:LdHU3.17.0970(CDS-product:Acyl_CoA_binding_p rotein_putative)". Lineage: Eukaryota; Euglenozoa; Kinetoplastea; Trypanosomatida; Trypanosomatidae. The record is from RNAcentral.
UUUUUGCCUGACGUAUCUAUACCCCCACUCCCACUUGACGCACCUACGCACACGGCUGUAUUCCUUCCUGCGCAUCGGCUCUCUCGUCUCUUCUUUUACUCCAUCCGCACUUCUUAACAGCACGUUGCUACUCCUGCGUGCGCGCGCGCGCUCUCAUAGUCCCUCGCACAUCGCGCUUCACCGUAGCGCGGCGUCCGUUUUCGCACCGCGGGAAAGCCUCAAAGAAGCAAAAAGAAAGAAAAAAAAAAAGGACACCGACGAGAGCAGGGCGAGCCGCGAGGGCUCCCACACGCGCGGCGUAAACGACCAGGGCAAAUCGCGGAGGCGAGUGGAACAGCGACGCGCAGGCCGCACACGGAGCGCGCUUUGCUGUCGUCUGCGCAGAACGGAUCGAGGGAGAGGAAAACCGGCACCCUCCACGCCACAGCCGGCGGCGACUAUCCACUGGUUGUACUCAACAUGCUCGCGACAUUCUUUGGGCGGCGGGCAGAGCCGGAGUUUAAGGUGGUGUGCGACCCCGAGUCUAUCGUGUUCCCGGUCGACUUCGAUGCCCCAGACUAUCCUUAUGAGCAAGCCUUCGAGGAAGCAGACGCGUACGUGCGAAAGCUGCCCAUGCGGGGCGUUGUCCCUGUCUCUGACGUGCUGAGGCUGCAGUUCUACUCCCUCUUCAAGCAAGCAACGGAGGGUGACAUCAACGAGGACGUGAAGCAGCCGAGCAUGCUGCGGGACUGGGAGGGGUACUGGAAGGUGUACGGCUGGCGCAAGUGUCGCGGGAUGACCCGUGAGAGGGCGCGUGACUUAUACAUCGAUCUGUUAGACGUGCAGAUUCGCAAGCACUGUUCAUUCGUGUGGGGGGCCCCAUCCGGUGAGGAUCGGUGGGUCGCCUUCCACGACGGUGUGAAGAUUAUCCGGAACCUUCCAAAGGGUGGCUACUACCUCCCCGAUUCGCUGCGCGCGCACUUCUACGCUCUCUACAAGCAGGCGCUUGUGGGAAACCUCAGCGACUUCCAGAAGACCCCCGCUGCGUUCUCAGAGAAGAAGUACAAGUGGCUGCGCUCCCGCCCAUCGAAGGCAGGUUUUGACCAGAUGCGGUACGACGAGUGGGCGGCUGUGAAGGGGAUGAGCUGCGAGAAUGCGAAGCGCAUGUACUGUAAGGAUAUUUUCAAGAGCGCCGCCAUGUGCGGCUACGUGUGGGCGCCGCCGGGGACAGAGGACCACCUCAAGGUGAUCGGCGAUCAGACUAGCGCCAAAACGCUCAAGAAGCGCACCGAUGCUGACGAGCGUGCCGAGAGGAUCGCAGGGGCGACGCAUCUCACCAUGGAGGAAGCUAUGGACGCCGUCGGCGUGCAUCUGUCGAUGGUGGAGCGGCUGGCGAUGCACUCCUUCACGAAGAAGGAGCAGGCCGCCGCUGCCAAGGCGCCCGAGGAGGUGGCAGGACGGAAGAAGCGAGAGGAGAAGGCGGAGAUGAAGCGCCGAGGCGUCGCGGGCUCUUACGUGGAUCUGAACAAGGGCGUGGCCGUCGCGAGACCAAAGUCGGAGAAAUCGACGGAGGCGACCGUCACGGAGAAAAUGGAAGAGGCAGACGUCAAGGAGGAUGCUGAGCGGUGUCUGGAGGCGCAGGACACGGACAAAGACAUUCAGAGCGUGUGCAAUAUCUGCAGGAGCUUCGCGAAGGAUAUCGCCUCCGACUCGGCGGCGCCGGAGAAGGUGAAGGAGAGCGGCGCCGCCGCUGCCGCAGCGAAGGACUGCACAGUUGAUUCGACGUCUCCGACACCGGUGCCGAAGCUGGAAGCAUCCGCGAAGGUGGCAGAAGCAUCGAAGAUCCUUCCCUCGAAGAGUGAGCCUGUGCUGAAGAAGGAGCCGGCGGUGAAGGUCACCUCUAAGGGCGCUGCAUCAAGCCACCAGGCGAAGAACGGCGCUAAGAAGGGCCCUGCUGCAAAAAGAAUGAAGGCUAAAUAAUAUCUGAAGCGCACCUGUUUUAGGGCGUGGUAGGCGCAUGACUGCCUUUCGCCUCUCGCCCACAUGCGAGAAGGGCCAACUGCACGCACAGAAGUGGCGCGCCCUCCUCCGGUUCAUCUGCGUUCUUUUUUUUUUCGUUCCUUCCUUUCUCUAUUUACGUGUCGCUCUGCGUCCGCAUGUUGCUGGCCGACCCAUCACACCUUCCCCCACCUCCCCUCUCCCUCCCUCAGCUGUGUCUGCUACUCGUUGGCGCGUGUUCGUUGGCUAGGGUGUCGCCGUGGGGGGGUAUUUUAUCUGAUGUGUGUGUAUAUAUAUGCGUAUAUAUAUAUAUAUAUUGAUAACUAUAGAUACGUGCGUGUGUGUCGGUAGCUAUCCCUGUCCCCUCGCUCAGUCGUCUUCUUAUUAGUGUCGUUGUUGUUUCGCUUGAUUAGGUGUUUUUCAUUGCUCAUGCGUGUCUCCCUCUCCUUUUCCUUCGCUUGCCCCUUGUAACGCUAUAAUGCCCGGGCGAGAGCGGGGGCUCGCGGUGCGAGGGAGGAGGAGGGAGGGAGGGAGGGAGCGUGUGUGUGUGGGGGGGGCACGGACCCUUUCGUCUCAUUUUCAUAUUGCAGUUCUGCGCUUAUAGCUUCAGCGCCACGCACCCUGUGCGCUUUCACCUCGACUUGCGCGAUAAAGGAAAAGGACAUACGCACACACUUCAGCAUUGCACGAUAGACGAGGGGCGCCUAGCGACUCUGUGGGGAGGGACCCGUUCUGCACGACCGAACGGAACCAGUAGAGAGGCACUCUGGCCGUGGACACUGUCCAAGGCGGAUGCACUGCCGCACACCCCGACAACCCAUGCACCCACCGUGCGUCUGUGUACGUGCCUCUGUGCAUCUAUGUGUCUGAAAAGGAUGCUUUGCAUUUCUUCGUUAGUUGCUUUUUGUCGUGCCCGUGUAGUGGUGCUUGUGCGUGUACCGCCUCUUUCUCAUCGCGUGUCACUCUUCGUAGCUGCGCUACGCACUGCUGCUGCUGCUGCUGCUCCAGUCAGCCGCCGCAUGUGCUUUCUGCGCUUCCGCCCACCUCCUCUUUUUGUUUCAUGUCUCACAUGCCCCUUCGCUUCUUUUUUUUUCCUCGCUGCGUGUGUGUGCCACCCAUCCGUUGUUGUUGUGGUUUUUGUACGUAUGCGUCUCUCCCUCUGUGCGUGUGCGUGUGAUAUGGUUGCUCGCUUUGUUUUCCCUCUCAUGUGCACAGUGGCGGCCGCCGAAGCCGCCUCCUCUUCUCACCGUCUUCCCCAUUUACUCUUGCUCUUCUCUGUUGUUUUUCUUUUUUUUUGUGUGUUGCUCUCCAACGCCAUUCAUCAUUGCCACCGUUAUCGCCGACUGUCUACGCCUUUCCGUUGCGCGCGCCCUUCGUUUUUCUCGCUAUCCCCCGCCCCUUUCUCCCUCUCGAUCCCAUCAUCUUGUUCGCAUCCUGCUGCUGCUCCCUGUCGCCUCCCCUCCUUCCAUAGGCGCAUCGCUUUAUGUGUGUGUCCAUGCGCGCGUGCGUGCUCAUGUGUUUUCCGUUUGGCGUGCGGGUGUGAGCAUCUGUGCGCGGACUGCGCGCUUCUCUCUUUUUUUUUUCGACCUCCUCCCUUUCCUUCCACGCUGGCAGUUUCGUGGGUGCUAUGCUCCCCUCCACACAAGGCUUGUGCACACGUGUUUCCUUUCUGCGCCCUGCAAGAACGGAAUGAGGAUCGCGACAAGCAACAGGAACGCGGAGAGGGAGGGAGGAGUUCCAGUGAAGAUGAGUGCGUGCAUGUAUACCCCUCCACCACUCUCCGUCGUCCUCUCUCUUCCACGAGUGCGGAGGCCCGAAGUUUUAACUACCGAGGCGCUCAUGCUAUCAUGCGGGCUUCCCAGCAACAUCGUCACGGUCCCUCCCACACGACCUCUUCCCCCUCCCCUCUUUAGCCUGCUCUAUUCCUUUCGACUCUCACGCUGGCAUUUUGCUUGUUCGUCAUCACGUCUCUUAUUCUUUUCAGCUGUAUUUCUGAUUUUGGUGCCGUGUGUCUUUACCGGACGCAUGCGCAUCAUCGGCGCCCGUGUGUGUGUGUGUGUCUAUGCGGGUGACUCUUUCCUUGCGCCUCGCCCCCCUCGGCUCCCACCGUCCUUCUCGCGGCCGCUUCCUGUGAGGAGGGGCGCGACUUCCACGGCGGCGCGUGUGAUAAAGUGGACAAGGGAGAGAGGGCGAAGAGGGGAGAAGGAGGGGACAAGCUACCCCGACGACGACUUCG